GACGAACGCUGGCGGCGUGCCUAAUACAUGCAAGUAGAACGCUGAAGGAGGAGCUUGCUUCUCUGGAUGAGUUGCGAACGGGUGAGUAACGCGUAGGUAACCUGCCUGGUAGCGGGGGAUAACUAUUGGAAACGAUAGCUAAUACCGCAUAAGAGUAGAUGUUGCAUGACAUUUGCUUAAAAGGUGCAAUUGCAUCACUACCAGAUGGACCUGCGUUGUAUUAGCUAGUUGGUGGGGUAACGGCUCACCAAGGCGACGAUACAUAGCCGACCUGAGAGGGGGAUCGGCCACACUGGGACUGAGACACGGCCCAGACUCCUACGGGAGGCAGCAGUAGGGAAUCUUCGGCAAUGGACGGAAGUCUGACCGAGCAACGCCGCGUGAGUGAAGAAGGUUUUCGGAUCGUAAAGCUCUGUUGUAAGAGAAGAGCGAGUGUGAGAGUGGAAAGUUCACACUGUGACGGUAUCUUACCAGAAAGGGACGGCUAACUACGUG
RNAcentral lists this ribosomal RNA (495 nucleotides) under uncultured bacterium. RNAcentral describes it as "partial 16S ribosomal RNA". It matches the Rfam family "Bacterial small subunit ribosomal RNA", at positions 28 to 507 of the family's 1533-position model. The record is from RNAcentral.